This 219-nucleotide long non-coding RNA is filed under the name Sorghum bicolor (sorghum). RNAcentral describes it as "long non-coding RNA (SBIC_LNC013067)". The record is from RNAcentral. Lineage: Eukaryota; Viridiplantae; Streptophyta; Magnoliopsida; Poales; Poaceae.
CUUGUAUCUAUACUUUUAUCUUUUCUUAUCUUUUAUAUUCUUUAUUUAUUUUCUUUACUCUUACCUUAUGGAAAACCAAAAUUCUAAAUCGAUCCAUGAGUCUGCGAUCCCUUCAGUAACUGACCUUUUACCAUGGGAAUCAUCACAGCCUAUCCAAACAUCCCAGUAUAAGUUAAGUUCUAGGUUGAUUGCCAUGAUUCAAAACCUAUCUUUUUCGGG